UACGUAGGGUGCGAGCGUUAAUCGGAAUUACUGGGCGUAAAGCGUGCGCAGGCUGUUUUGUAAGUCAGAUGUGAAAUCCCCGAGCUCAACUUGGGAACUGCGUUUGAAACUACAAGACUAGAAUAGGUCAGAGGGGGGUAGAAUUCCACGUGUAGCAGUGAAAUGCGUAGAGAUGUGGAGGAAUAUCAAUGGCGAAGGCAGCCCCCUGGGAUCAUAUUGACGCUCAUGCACGAAAGCGUGGGGAGCAAAC
RNAcentral lists this ribosomal RNA (250 nucleotides) under uncultured bacterium. Its description in RNAcentral is "partial 16S ribosomal RNA". It matches the Rfam family "Bacterial small subunit ribosomal RNA", at positions 524 to 773 of the family's 1533-position model. The record is from RNAcentral.